AUUGAACGCUGGCGGCAUGCCUAACACAUGCAAGUCGAACGGCAGCACGGCAGUAGCAAUACUGUGGGUGGCGAGUGGCGGACGGGUGAGGAAUACGUCGGAAUCUGCCCAGUCGUGGGGGAUAACUAGCCGAAAGGUUAGCUAAUACCGCAUACGACCGAGAGGUGAAAGCGGGGGACCGCAAGGCCUCGCGCGAUUGGAUGAGCCGACGUCGGAUUAGCUAGUUGGUGGGGUAAAGGCCUACCAAGGCCACGAUCGGUAGCUGGUCUGAGAGGAUGAUCAGCCACACUGGGACUGAGACACGGCCCAGACUCCUACGGGAGGCAGCAGUGGGGAAUAUUGGACAAUGGGCGCAAGCCUGAUCCAGCAAUGCCGCGUGUGUGAAGAAGGCCUGCGGGUUGUAAAGCACUUUCAGUGGGGAAGAACAGAUUCGGGUCAAUA
Molecule: ribosomal RNA, 441 nt
Filed under: uncultured bacterium
Lineage: Bacteria
Description: bacterial SSU rRNA
Rfam family: Bacterial small subunit ribosomal RNA
Source: RNAcentral